GUCGACGGUAGAGGGGGCAACCCCUCGAGAGUGGCGAACGGGUGAGUAAUAUAUCGGAACGUGCCCAGUCGUGGGGGAUAACGUAGCGAAAGUUACGCUAAUACCGCAUACGAUCUACGGAUGAAAGCGGGGGACUCGCAAGAGCCUCGCGCGAUUGGAGCGGCCGAUAUCAGAUUAGGUAGUUGGUGGGGUAAAGGCUCACCAAGCCAACGAUCUGUAGCUGGUCUGAGAGGACGACCAGCCACACUGGAACUGAGACACGGUCCAGACUCCUACGGGGGGCAGCAGUGGGGAAUUUUGGACAAUGGACGCAAGUCUGAUCCAGCCAUUCCGCGUGCAGGAUGAAGGCCCUCGGGUUGUAAACUGCUUUUGUACGGAACGAAAAGGUCUCUAUUAAUACUAGGGGCUCAUGACGGUACCGUAAGAAUAAGCACCGGCUAACUACGUGCCAGCAGCCGCGGUAAUACGUAGGGUGCAAGCGUUAAUCGGAAUUACUGGGCGUAAAGCGUGCGCAGGCGGUUAUGUAAGACAGAGGUGAAAUCCCCGGGCUCAACCUGGGAACUGCCUUUGUGACUGCAUAGCUAGAGUACGGUAGAGGGGGAUGGAAUUCCGCGUGUAGCGGUGAAAUGCGUAGAUAUGCGGAGGAACACCGAUGGCGAAGGCAAUCCCCUGGACCUGUACUGACGCUCAUGCACGAAAGCGUGGGGAGCAAACAGGAUUAGAUACCCUGGUAGUCCACGCCCUAAACGA
RNAcentral lists this ribosomal RNA (750 nucleotides) under uncultured bacterium. Its description in RNAcentral is "bacterial SSU rRNA". It matches the Rfam family "Bacterial small subunit ribosomal RNA", at positions 61 to 809 of the family's 1533-position model. The record is from RNAcentral.